Molecule: transfer RNA, 73 nt
Filed under: Candidatus Doudnabacteria bacterium RIFCSPHIGHO2_01_48_18
Lineage: Bacteria; Candidatus Doudnaibacteriota
Also listed under: 6 other names
Description: tRNA-Gly
Rfam family: tRNA
About the family: Transfer RNA (tRNA) molecules are approximately 80 nucleotides in length.
Source: RNAcentral
GCGGGUGUCGUAUAACGGCUAAUUAUGCCACCCUUCCAAGGUGGAGACGAGGGUUCGACUCCCUUCACCCGCU